Monopterus albus (swamp eel) is the source of this 1011-nucleotide long non-coding RNA. RefSeq lists it as uncharacterized. The record is from RefSeq and is a predicted model, not a curated record. Lineage: Eukaryota; Metazoa; Chordata; Actinopteri; Synbranchiformes; Synbranchidae. The transcript is spliced from 3 exons.
AUGUAGCCGGGUCAAGUAAUAAAAUUACAGUUUCCUAAGGGGAGUAACUGAAACUCUCCCUGGUGCAGUAAGGUGUUGUUUAGUAGGUGCCCAGCGGGUGUCGCUAUGAUAGUUGUAUACAUGCAGUGCUCACCCACAGCUGUAUGAAGGCGCAUCUGUUGUGACGUCAUCACUGUGUGACAGGCGAGUGUCCCGCGGGAAAAAAAGAGAAACAGAGACCGAGAAGGAGACAAAGAGAAAAACGCAGGGAAAUACAAAGCUCCGUGACGGCAGGGGAGACAACACUGUCUACGAGUUCGGGGUAUUUACUCCAGCCUGAACAGGAAUUCCGGCAUCUUGAAGGCAGUCGGGAAAUAGGACCCACAUUUGUUUUGGAGCUGCAGGUGUUGGUCCGAAAACCAUGCACCUGGCCAUACAGUACCACAUCGCAGCCCCAACAUAAAGGAACGGCAUUUUGCAGCUUCGGGGUGUCAUUUAAGGUAUGGAUGAAUGAUUAGCGAUCUUUGAAUCUGAAGGUGUCACUAUGCAGGGAGGGAUGUUAAGAGGACGGAGCAGCAGGGGUAGAGAAACAUCACAGAUGAGUGCUGGAUGCUGCAGGACGGGUCGUCGUCGCUCCAGCCGCCUCCAGUCAAACGGUUUCCGGCCAGCACACAACAACGGCAAAUAGUGCACACAACAAAUUGCGUGAAACAAUAUUACAUAUGGUACCUUUAAAAAAACGGCGAAAUCUCUAGCCUAUAUGAUAUCGAUCACACCAGUGGCGGGCCGUCAGGGCCAGCAAGGCCUCCUCUGCUUUUCUCUACGUGUAUGCGGAUUUUAGAUUUUUUGUCCAAUCAGAUUUCAGCCUCUGUGUUGCCAUGUCAAUCUAAUCUGCCCAGGGCUGAUCGCACGGAAACUCGAUGCCAAUGCCAAAUUCGGUCCAAAAUGGGAUUUUUUUUUAACAUUGUGUUUCCACACACAUUUCAUUCUAAACAAUAAAAGCCGUACUUGCCAGCUGCCGGCUCUGGGCUC